GUGCUUGCUUCCGCAGCACAUAUACUAAAAUUGGAAUGACAGAGAUUAGCAAGGCCCCUGCGAAAGGAUGACACUCAAAUUCAUGAAGCCUCACAUACCAGA
Molecule: small nuclear RNA, 102 nt
Organism: Pipistrellus kuhlii (Kuhl's pipistrelle)
Lineage: Eukaryota; Metazoa; Chordata; Mammalia; Chiroptera; Vespertilionidae
Source: RefSeq, a predicted model, not a curated record